RNAcentral lists this ribosomal RNA (631 nucleotides) under Leucosporidium scottii. RNAcentral describes it as "partial large subunit ribosomal RNA". It matches the Rfam family "Eukaryotic large subunit ribosomal RNA", at positions 37 to 664 of the family's 3401-position model. Lineage: Eukaryota; Fungi; Basidiomycota; Microbotryomycetes; Leucosporidiales; Leucosporidiaceae. The record is from RNAcentral.
UGCAUAUCAAUAAGCGGAGGAAAAGAAACUAACAAGGAUUCCCCUAGUAACGGCGAGUGAAGCGGGAAGAGCUCAAAUUUGUAAUCUGGCACUUUCAGUGUCCGAGUUGUAAUCUCGAGAAGUAUUUUCCGCGCCGGACCGCAUACAAGUCUGUUGGAAUACAGCGUCAUAGUGGUGAGAACCCCGUAACUGAUGCGGAUGCCCGGUGCUUUGUGAUAUACUUUCGAAGAGUCGAGUUGUUUGGGAAUGCAGCUCAAAUUGGGUGGUAAAUUCCAUCUAAAGCUAAAUAUUGGAGCAAGACCGAUAGCGAACAAGUACCGUGAGGGAAAGAUGAAAAGCACUUUGGAAAGAGAGUUAACAGUACGUGAAAUUGUUGGAAGGGAAACGCUUGAAGUCAGACUUGCUAUUCGGAGUUCAGCCGCAAGGUGUAUUCUUCGAUUUGCAGGCCAGCAUCAGUUUUUGGGGGUGGAAAAUCGUGGUUUGAAGGUAGCAGUUUCGGCUGUGUUAUAGCUUUCCACUGGAUUCAUCUUCGGGGACUGAGGAACGCAGUACGCUUUUUGCAAGGCUCUCGAGCUUUUCGUACUUAGGAUGCUGGUGGAAUGGCUUUAAACGACCCGUCUUGAACACCCGG